GCCGAAAUAGCUCAGAUGGGAGAGCGUCAGACUGAAGAUCUGAAUGUCAGUUGUUCAAUCCUGGGUUUCGGCA
RNAcentral lists this transfer RNA (73 nucleotides) under Paramuricea clavata. It matches the Rfam family "tRNA". From Rfam's summary of the family: Transfer RNA (tRNA) molecules are approximately 80 nucleotides in length. Their secondary structure includes four short double-helical elements and three loops (D, anti-codon, and T loops). Lineage: Eukaryota; Metazoa; Cnidaria; Anthozoa; Malacalcyonacea; Plexauridae. The record is from Rfam by way of RNAcentral.